AAAUUCAAAAAUACUGCAAGCACCAGCACUUGAAUCCUGAUGAGCUCAGGAUAUCACGAGUUGAAAUGUUGUUACAGCAUCUCUAGCCCGUCUCUCAAAACCGAUUUAACUCCUUGUACAAAUUAUUUUAAGGAGUCAAAACGGAUUAACUCUUAUCUGGUUUAACUACCUAAAAAAGUAAGCACCGCAUCUCAGGGCUUUUAGCUUUUAUAUUUACUUGACUUGAUAGUGACUUGUUCUUAUGAUAAACUUUCCUUCCCUCCC
This 264-nucleotide long non-coding RNA is filed under the name Hordeum vulgare. RNAcentral describes it as "long non-coding RNA (HVUL_LNC008421)". Lineage: Eukaryota; Viridiplantae; Streptophyta; Magnoliopsida; Poales; Poaceae. The record is from RNAcentral.